GACGAACGCUGGCGGCGUGCUUAACACAUGCAAGUAGAACGGAAAGGCCCUGCUUUUGUGGGGUGCUCGAUUGGCGAACGGGUGAGUAACACGUGGGUACCCUUCCCUUGACUUUGGGAUAACUUCAGGAAACUGGGGCUAAUACUGGAUAGGAGCUCCUGCUGUUAGGUGGGGGUUGGAAAGUUUCGGCGGUUGGGGAUGGACUCGCGGCUUAUGAGCCUGUUGGUGGGGUAGUGUGUUAGCAAGGCUUUGACGGGUAGCCGGCCUGAGAGGGUGACGGGCCACAUAGGGCCUGAGAUAGGGCCCAGACUCCUACUGGAGCCAGCAGUGGGGAAUAUUCCACGAUGGGCGGAAGCCGUAUGCAGCAACGCCGCGUGCGGGAUGACGGCCUUCGGGUUGUAACCCGCUUUCGCCUGUGACGAAGCGUGAGUGACGGUAAUGUGUAAAGAAGCACCGGCUAACUACGUG
Molecule: ribosomal RNA, 468 nt
Filed under: uncultured bacterium
Lineage: Bacteria
Description: partial 16S ribosomal RNA
Rfam family: Bacterial small subunit ribosomal RNA
Source: RNAcentral